RNAcentral lists this ribosomal RNA (322 nucleotides) under uncultured Cercozoa. RNAcentral describes it as "SSU rRNA". The stretch from base 62 to 322 matches the Rfam family "Eukaryotic small subunit ribosomal RNA", at positions 694 to 955 of the family's 1831-position model. Lineage: Eukaryota; Cercozoa. The record is from RNAcentral.
GAUUUCUGGCUUGAAACAUUUUGCCGGCCACGGUUUCGUGUGUUAGUGCUUGAUGUUCUGGCCAUCCUUCCAAUCGCUCUUCACCUUUCUUCAUUGAUGGGUGAGGGGUAUUGGAUCUUUUACUUUGAAAAAAUUAGAGUGUUUCAAGCAGGCUUUAUGCUAUGAAUACAUUAGCAUGGAAUAAUAAUUUAGGACUUCGGUUCUAUUUUGUUGGUUUCUAGGACGGAAGUAAUGAUUGAUAGGGAUAGUUGGGGGUGCUAGUAUUCAGCGGCCAGAGGUGAAAUUCUUGGAUUCGCUGAAGACUAACUUAUGCGAAAGCAUU